GAUGAAGAACGCAGCGAAAUGCGAUAAGUAAUGUGAAUUGCAGAAUUCAGUGAAUCAUCGAAUCUUUGAACACACAUUGCGCCCGCUAGUAUUCUGGCGGGCAUGCCUGUCCGAGCGUCAUUUCAACCCUCAAGCCCCUCCGGGGGCCUGGCGUUGGGGAUCGGCCCCGCUCCGGCGGCCGGCCCCGAAAUGUAGUGGCGGUCUCGCCGCUGCCUCCUCUGCGUAGUAGAAACACCUCGCAUUGGGACGCGGCGGGCCCACGCCGUUAACCAGAUGAAUUUUUUCAAGGUUGACCUCGGAUCAGGUAGGAAUACCCGCUGAACUUAAGCAUAUCAAUAAGCGGAGGA
RNAcentral lists this unclassified non-coding RNA (347 nucleotides) under soil metagenome. RNAcentral describes it as "partial contains 5.8S ribosomal RNA, internal transcribed spacer 2, and large subunit ribosomal RNA". The stretch from base 1 to 120 matches the Rfam family "5.8S ribosomal RNA", at positions 35 to 154 of the family's 154-position model. The record is from RNAcentral.